GAUGAACGCUGGCGGCGUGCCUAAUACAUGCAAGUCGAGCGAACGGACGAGAAGCUUGCUUUUCUGAUGUUAGCGGCGGACGGGUGAGUAACACGUGGAUAACCUACCUAUAAGACUGGGAUAACUUCGGGAAACCGGAGCUAAUACCGGAUAAUAUUUUGAACCGCAUGGUUCAAAAGUGAAAGACGGUCUUGCUGUCACUUAUAGAUGGAUCCGCGCUGCAUUAGCUAGUUGGUAAGGUAACGGCUUACCAAGGCAACGAUGCAUAGCCGACCUGAGAGGGUGAUCGGCCACACUGGAACUGAGACACGGUCCAGACUCCUACGGGAGGCAGCAGUAGGGAAUCUUCCGCAAUGGGCGAAAGCCUGACGGAGCAACGCCGCGUGAGUGAUGAAGGUCUUCGGAUCGUAAAACUCUGUUAUUAGGGAAGAACAUAUGUGUAAGUAACUGUGCACAUCUUGACGGUACCUAAUCAGAAAGCCACGGCUAACUACGUGCCAGCAGCCGCGGUAAUACGUAGGUGGCAAGCGUUAUCCGGAAUUAUUGGGCGUAAAGCGCGCGUAGGCGGUUUUUUAAGUCUGAUGUGAAAGCCCACGGCUCAACCGUGGAGGGUCAUUGGAAACUGGAAGACUUGAGUGCAGAAGAGGAAAGUGGAAUUCCAUGUGUAGCGGUGAAAUGCGCAGAGAUGUGGAGGAACACCAGUGGCGAAGGCGACUUUCUGGUCUGUAACUGACGCUGAUGUGCGAAAGCGUGGGGAUCAAACAGGAUUAGAUACCCUGGUAGUCCACGCCGUAAACGAUGAGUGCUAAGUGUUAGGGGGUUUCCGCCCCUUAGUGCUGCAGCUAACGCAUUAAGCACUCCGCCUGGGGAGUACGACCGCAAGGUUGAAACUCAAAGGAAUUGACGGGGGCCCGCACAAGCGGUGGAGCAUGUGGUUUAAUUCGAAGCAACGCGAAGAACCUUACCAAAUCUUGACAUCCUUUGACAACUCUAGAGAUAGAGCCUUCCCCUUCGGGGGACAAAGUGACAGGUGGUGCAUGGUUGUCGUCAGCUCGUGUCGUGAGAUGUUGGGUUAAGUCCCGCAACGAGCGCAACCCUUAAGCUUAGUUGCCAUCAUUAAGUUGGGCACUCUAAGUUGACUGCCGGUGACAAACCGGAGGAAGGUGGGGAUGACGUCAAAUCAUCAUGCCCCUUAUGAUUUGGGCUACACACGUGCUACAAUGGACAAUACAAAGGGCAGCGAAACCGCGAGGUCAAGCAAAUCCCAUAAAGUUGUUCUCAGUUCGGAUUGUAGUCUGCAACUCGACUACAUGAAGCUGGAAUCGCUAGUAAUCGUAGAUCAGCAUGCUACGGUGAAUACGUUCCCGGGUCU
This 1372-nucleotide ribosomal RNA is filed under the name uncultured bacterium. RNAcentral describes it as "bacterial SSU rRNA". It matches the Rfam family "Bacterial small subunit ribosomal RNA", at positions 28 to 1381 of the family's 1533-position model. The record is from RNAcentral.